This 114-nucleotide microRNA precursor is filed under the name Erinaceus europaeus (western European hedgehog). Its description in RNAcentral is "miRNA (ENSEEUG00000016010.1)". The record is from RNAcentral. Lineage: Eukaryota; Metazoa; Chordata; Mammalia; Eulipotyphla; Erinaceidae.
CUUCCUUCAGAAUACUCUUAGACACUUGCCUCUGCCAGUUGAAAGAGUGCAGACUUUCCACAGCGUUUCACAGGUUCAGCACCAUCCAGCUGUGAAGUGUUUGGAAGAAAUCUA